This 770-nucleotide ribosomal RNA is filed under the name uncultured bacterium. RNAcentral describes it as "bacterial SSU rRNA". It matches the Rfam family "Bacterial small subunit ribosomal RNA", at positions 8 to 796 of the family's 1533-position model. The record is from RNAcentral.
AGAGUUUGAUCAUGGCUCAGGACGAACGCUGGCGGCGUGCUUAACACAUGCAAGUCGAACGAUGAAGCCCUUCGGGGUGGAUUAGUGGCGAACGGGUGAGUAACACGUGGGCAACCUGCCCUCCACUCUGGGAUAACUCCGGGAAACCGGGGCUAAUACUGGAUAUGACCUGCUCCUGCAUGGGGGUGGGUGGAAAGUUUUUCGGUGGAGGAUGGGCCCGCGGCCUACCAGCUUGUUGGUGGGGUGAUGGCCUACCAAGGCUUUGACGGGUAGCCGGCCUGAGAGGGCGACCGGCCACACUGGGACUGAGACACGGCCCAGACUCCUGCGGGAGGCAGCAGUGGGGAAUAUUGCACAAUGGGCGGAAGCCUGAUGCAGCGACGCCGCGUGAGGGAUGACGGCCUUCGGGUUGUAAACCUCUUUCAGCAGGGACCAAGCGUGAGUGAGUGUACCUGCAGAAGAAGCACCGGCUAACUACGUGCCAGCAGCCGCGGUAAUACGUAGGGUGCGAGCGUUGUCCGGAUUUAUUGGGCGUAAAGGGCUCGUAGGCGGCCUGUCGCGUCGGGAGUGAAAGCCCACUGCUUAACGGUGGGUCUGCUUCCGGUACGGGCGGGCUGGAGUAUGGCAGGGGAGACUGGAAUUCCUGGUGUAGCGGUGGAAUGCGCAGAUAUCAGGAGGAACACCGGUGGCGAAGGCGGGUCUCUGGGCCAUUACUGACGCUGAGGAGCGAAAGCGUGGGGAGCGAACAGGAUUAGAUACCCUCGUAGUCC